ACACCGGCAGCUCAAGUGGAAGCCGCUUUUAUUGGGCCUAAAGCGUUCGUAGCCGGCCUGAUAAGUCUCUGGUGAAAUCCCGCAGCUUAACUGUGGGAAUUGCUGGAGAUACUAUCAGGCUUGAGGUCGGGAGAGGUUAGAGUUACUCCAAGGGUAGGGGUGAAAUCCUAUAAUCCUGGGAGGACCACCUGUGGCGAAGGCGUCUAACUGGAACGAACCUGACGGUGAGUAACGAAGCCAGGGGCGCGAACCGGAUUAGAUACCCGGGUAGUCCUGGCCGUAAACGAUGUGGACUUGGUGUUGGGAUGGCCUCGAGCUGCCCCAGUGCCGAAGGGAAGCUGUUAAGUCCACCGCCUGGGAAGUACGGUCGCAAGACUGAAACUUAAAUGAAUUGGCGGGG
This 400-nucleotide ribosomal RNA is filed under the name uncultured bacterium. RNAcentral's name for it is "partial 16S ribosomal RNA". It matches the Rfam family "Archaeal small subunit ribosomal RNA", at positions 473 to 873 of the family's 1478-position model. The record is from RNAcentral.